UAUCGCUGUGAAUGUGACCAUUGGUGUUCGUUGAGACAUUACCUAGUCAAUGAUGAACAACAAACUUGUACUCGCAAUCCUCUUGGUGACCGUAGGUCUGAUGUGCCUUGGUGUACCCCCAGUAAGCGGUCAGUUUGGAUCUGGAUGUCGGUGCAGUCAAACCUGGCAGUGUAGUCCUGGUGAGAGGCGCAGUGGACAGUGUGAUUACCAGCCAGGGCUGAAGUGCUGUCCACUUUACCGCGGCUAAUAACACGACAAAGACAGAUGAUCGAUUCCUUACUAAAGGUACGAUUUGAUAAAAGAAGCCUCAACAUGGAAACAAAAAUACAUAUUUUAAUUUUGGUUUGUCAUGACAUUUUAAACUAUUAAAAUUCUCCAACCUGCCUUAUA
This is a long non-coding RNA of Mizuhopecten yessoensis (Yesso scallop), 390 nucleotides long. RefSeq lists it as uncharacterized. Lineage: Eukaryota; Metazoa; Mollusca; Bivalvia; Pectinida; Pectinidae. The transcript has 3 exons. The record is from RefSeq and is a predicted model, not a curated record.